GCGAUGGGCGAUAUGUGACUUGCCGAGGGUGUUGGUUUUAUACCUGGCCGCAACGGACGAGAGCAAGGAACGACAUUGAUAACGUGAUAAGGGCGGGAUACGUAAUUCCGAUGCCGACUGUCGCCUCUACUCUCCACCGACGCCCCUUCUCUACCUCCAUUUCUCCUCCACUCCCCCCUCCGCCCACUGGAAAAACAGCCCCGGGAAAAUACAGAUUUCUUCUUCUUCUUCGAUACUGUGGCACGGGGAGCUAGCCUAUCGCAAGCAGGCUGGUGUACGGUGUGUCCUGCACCGGAGCUACAUCCGCCCAACAAAUCAAUGAAAGAAUUGAUAUUAACACACUGCAGGGCGCCAGAACACCGCCGGAAAGAACUCUAUGAUUGAAAGCCGAAUGUUUCAAGUAUAGCGCAUAGCGCAUGCCUACGUAACCUUAACUUAUUAAGGUGACCAAGCCCUAAGGUUGCGGCUUCUCACAAUCACUCCAAGCAUUGUAGCAAGACGGGGAGACGAAGUAAUCUUCUCUUUUCCGCGUUAUAUUUUAUAAGGCCAGAAGCAAGUACUGCUAGGGGUCAUGCAAAGCCUUUAGAUAUGUUAGCUAUCCACUUACGGAAAUUCGACGCUCGUUUGAUUCGAUAGAAGUUUGUCUGAUCGCACGUUCGGACGCGAUCCGAUCUCUUUGGGCUAAUGACAAAUUGACGACUAUGCUCAAUUUGGAUUAGCUCCCAUUAUCUGGAUUGUUAGCCAGCGGAAAGUGGCAGUAUAUCGCUGCGAUGGCCGAGCGGGACGUUGAUUGGGUGCUGUAUGCAGAUUUAUGCGGAAA
This 820-nucleotide small RNA is filed under the name Cryptococcus neoformans H99. Its description in RNAcentral is "Cryptococcus neoformans var. grubii H99 hypothetical RNA". Lineage: Eukaryota; Fungi; Basidiomycota; Tremellomycetes; Tremellales; Cryptococcaceae. The record is from RNAcentral.